This 253-nucleotide ribosomal RNA is filed under the name uncultured bacterium. Its description in RNAcentral is "partial 16S ribosomal RNA". It matches the Rfam family "Bacterial small subunit ribosomal RNA", at positions 524 to 776 of the family's 1533-position model. The record is from RNAcentral.
UACGGAGGGCGCAAACGUUAUCCGGAUUCACUGGGUUUAAAGGGUGCGUAGGUGGGCAAGUAAGUCAGUGGUGAAAUCUCCGGGCUUAACCCGGAAACUGCCAUUGAUACUAUUUGUCUUGAAUACUGUGGAGGUCAGCGGAAUAUGUCAUGUAGCGGUGAAAUGCUUAGAUAUGACAUAGAACACCAAUUGCGAAGGCAGCUGGCUACACAAAUAUUGACACUGAGGCACGAAAGCGUGGGGAUCAAACAGG